CCUACGGGAGGCAGCAGUGAGGAAUAUUGGUCAAUGGCCGGAAGGCUGAACCAGCCAAGCCGCGUGAAGGACGAAGGUGCCAAGCAUUGUAAACUUCUUUUGUCAAGGGACAAAAUCAGGCUCGAGAGCCUGACCGAGGGUACUCGAAGAAAAAGCAUCGGCUAACUCCGUGCCAGCAGCCGCGGUAAUACGGAGGAUGCGAGCGUUAUACGGAUUUAUUGGGUUUAAAGGGUGCGUAGGCGGGCUGUUAAGUCAGCGGUAAAAGCCCGGGGCUCAACCCCGGCGAGCCGUUGAAACUGGCUGUCGUGAGAUGGCGAGAGGAAGGAGGAAUGCGGGGGGUAGCGGUGAAAGGCUUAGAUAUUGCGCAGAACUCCGAUUGCGAAGGCAGCAUACCGGCGGCGGUCUGACGCUGAGGCACGAAAGCGUGGGUAUCGAACAGGAUUAGAUACCCGUGUAGUC
This 459-nucleotide ribosomal RNA is filed under the name uncultured bacterium. RNAcentral's name for it is "partial 16S ribosomal RNA". It matches the Rfam family "Bacterial small subunit ribosomal RNA", at positions 338 to 795 of the family's 1533-position model. The record is from RNAcentral.